Molecule: long non-coding RNA, 1816 nt
Organism: Papaver somniferum (opium poppy)
Lineage: Eukaryota; Viridiplantae; Streptophyta; Magnoliopsida; Ranunculales; Papaveraceae
Exons: 7
Source: RefSeq, a predicted model, not a curated record
AGCAGCUUGGUAGAGAGAGAGUUGGACGAUUCAAUCUGUAGUUUGUCUUCCUUUCUGAAAUCAAACAUGAAAUGAGUAGAUCGAAGUAAGUUACUUUAAAACAAGGUCAUCAAACACGUAUUCUCUCUAUUAUUUCUGUUAAAGAUUUGGAGGUGUUAGGAAAAAUUACUAAUGAAUCUAAGUUGUUUCUGAGGAAGAAGAAGAAAUGGUUUAUGUAUUGGUCUUGAUUAUCAUCGGUGUGUACGGGCUCGGAAAAAUUAACGGCGACGGCAAAUCUAACGAGGGCAAUACGUAUCAACUUAACCUCAUCAUGAUGUUUCUUCUGGAGUAGUGACUGCGCCUCAUUCUGUUCCUCAAAUUCUAUCAAAUUCCUUCUGUGACCCCUCAGCUUCUUACCGGAAAGCACUGUAGAUGGGGCUUUUAUAAGCAAAAACUCUUGUAUCUUUCAUGCGAAAGCCGAAACCUAAGUAAUAACUCGGUUGGGAUGACGAUGGACCUAGUGGAGACAAUCAAAGACGAUAAUCUGAUGCUGAAACAAUCUCGGUGGUUCAGCUGGACAGACCAUUAGGAUAAACAAGCUCGAAAAGAUAAGCAACUGGCUGUGGACCAAACUUCAGGAUUUGUUCGUAUUAGAUGAACACUAUAGAAAAGCUACCUUGUCGGACAAGAAAGCUAAAUGGAAAAGACAUCACUAUACACCCUACAAUACAAAUGAAAAUUGAAUUGCAGAUAAACGUGAUUUUGGACUAUGGAAGAGCAUCAGGUACUUUUAGUUCAAGAAUAGGAGUCACUAGAGAGCCAAGAACACGGUGGGUAGGAAAAGCUUCUCUUGAUGCAAAGCUGAGAUCGUGCGUUCUAACAUAUGUCAAUGUCAAACGGUUAUCGGAAGUGGGAACAAAAGUAUUGCAAUGCUGUUAUAUCCUUCUCAUCACAUUGUGGGAAGAAACCUUUUAUAAGAUUCAUGCCUCGAAUGAGAAAAGUCAGGGGGGGUAAAGAAAUGAAAAAGGAGACAGCUCGGAGUUUGUCAUAUUUCCUGACCUGUAAGUCUGAUACUGCGUAACUUCUUGGAAGUCUGGAAGUGACGCGUGAGAAAAAUGGUGAAGCACAGGUGGGGAUACACAAAGUUAGUUGAGCAGGAAAUUCAUUGAACAUAUCCUCAUCAUAUCUCAAAUUUUGCAAGGAUGUGUUAUCUUCUGAGCACCAUUAGACAUUAAAAGGAAUUUGGUGGGUGCUGAUUUAGCAAACAAUUUUUGCAGGCUCGGAAUUGUGUUGUAGUUGGAUUGUAGUUCGAUUCCUCAGAAUCCUGCCCGUCCCGAAAGUACUUGCCAUUGGCUCGGGUCUGAUUGAUACUCUUUGGCUCGCCCUUCCCUACCUACGUCAGAAAAAUAGACAGCGCCUCAUUUUGGACUGUUUUUGAAAAAGUUAAGGAUGAAGUACAGCAACUCUUAAUUUCAGAAAAAGAAAAAGUUCAACCAAAAAUCAUUAAUUAUCCGUACGUUCGGUCGGAAAAUUUCUUUCUUGACUAAGAUUUGUGGUGAUGACCUCCGUCAAUCAAUCUGCCGGUGUCUCAACAGCACAAGUUGUCCAAAUGAGUUUUCUAUUCCUUUUGGCUUUGUGAUGAUGUUGUAGGGCUCUUGUGACAGGGUUAAGAUGUGACUAUUGUCAAAGUACUCUUCGCACCCUUUCUAGCCAUAGCUUUUGGAAAACCCCAACUCAACGAUUUCGAGCUGCUUUUACCGCUGUUAGUGUUGUGACCCACGACCAGCGAGGUGGUGUUUUUUCUAGCUUCUACCAAACAUAAAAGACAAUUCUUUUG